AGAAAAAUGCAUCUUUAAAAUGAUGCCUGGUGUUUGGCUUGAGAUCUGGAUGGAGAAGCAUAAAGGUUCUCACACAGACAGUUGUAUUUUGGAAGAAGGGUCUUUGAAUCUCCUCACUCUUGUUUUGAAGGGUCCUUAAAGAGAUCUCAGCCACACUGCAGGAUACGCUGUUCGCUGACACUCAUCAUUUCAUCUGAAUCCCACCGUUGUACAGGUAUCUACAUGAAGCUCUUUUGGGCGUCUGACAGAUGACCUGCUCAUACAGCAGUUACCAUGGAAAUGGAAAUAAUAAGGUACAUGCAGAACGCCCACUUGACUCUGAGAUCUUCCCGGCAACACUGGCAACACUCUUACACUUGUAAGCAUCAAACAGACAUGUGUUGUGCUUAUCAUGUGACUAAUGCUUUUGAGUGAAGCGUAACCAUGACAACCUGAAGAUAUGCUGCAUGGUGUGCUGUGGGGUUUUUAAAUCAGCUCUUAGAGGAGAGUAUAAAUGGAUAAAUAACUGCAGAAACCCAUGAACGUGUCAUAAUAUUUAUUUUACGGGUAUGCAAAACAUCUUAAUAAAUGUUUUAUCUUAAUAAAACAUGCUAUUUAUCUUAAAUGAUCAAAUUGAUACCCCAAACAAAAUGAAGGUAAAUCAUAUUGUCCUGACACUAUCCAUUUGCUCGCCUCCUAUGAUGUAUCUGCAUAACAUAACGCACCACAUUACAAAAUCAAAUUAAGCCAAAAUAAUAAACUGUUAUUAUUUACAUAAUGGCAACCACAACCUUUUUUAAGCUUGAC
Long non-coding RNA from Misgurnus anguillicaudatus (oriental weatherfish), 786 nucleotides. RefSeq lists it as uncharacterized. NCBI's taxonomy places the organism in Eukaryota, Metazoa, Chordata, Actinopteri, Cypriniformes, Cobitidae. The record is from RefSeq and is a predicted model, not a curated record.